GUAUUUCGAAAGUGUUUGGUUCAAAAGAUUUGUGUAGCUGAUAGUUAUUCCUCAGUUAAUAAUUAUAUUAAAGCGUUUGAUAAAAACUUAAAAAUCAACAGAUGAUAGCUGAUUUAGUCUUAAUCAGCUCCUCACUGUAUCAUCUUUAUUUUUAAUCUUUUUUUUAUCAACCGAUCGAUAAUUUGAUUUUUAUUUAUUUAUUUGAAUAAUUAUUAUUCGUAUUAAAAUUUAUUAAUACUAACUUACUUUAAGUUAAUCUCAUAUAAUAUUUUUCUUAUAAUUCAUAAUGAAUUAUUAUUAUUUUAAUACUAUACUUAAUAGUUGAAUAAUUAUGAUAUGUAUAAAUUAUGGCAUUUGAAAUUAGAAUUUUUUUUAUUAUUGGAAGUUAAAUUCUAAUUCCCACUUUUAGAAUACGAAUUAAAUAAAUUUAAUUAUAAUAUUUUUAAUUAUUAUAAACUAUUUUUUAAAUUUGUAUUAUUGAAGAUGAUAUAAUAAAAUAGAAUAUAUUUAAAAAUAAAUUAUACUCUUAAUAGUCAUCUAACACACUAACAGCAAUCGCUAAUAGAAUUCUACCAAACAGUUCAAUUUAUCAGCAACCGGCUAUAAACCAUCAACUACCAGCCAUCAGCUGUAUUAAUCAAUCGAAUCAAAUACACCAUUUAUUAUCAAUGGUUGUGUCAAUAAAAAUGGCCGAAAAAUUGAUAGAUAUCCUAAAUUGGAAAAUUAGAGAUAAAUAUACCAAAAAAUUAAAUAUUAGUACCAAUUGGAUAUUAUAUCCAGAAGUUUGACACUAAGAAGCAAUUCACCCGAUCCUGAAUUAUCUCCAGU
RNAcentral lists this long non-coding RNA (828 nucleotides) under Ricinus communis (castor bean). Its description in RNAcentral is "long non-coding RNA (RCOM_LNC001969)". The record is from RNAcentral. Lineage: Eukaryota; Viridiplantae; Streptophyta; Magnoliopsida; Malpighiales; Euphorbiaceae.